This is a long non-coding RNA of Camelus dromedarius (Arabian camel), 326 nucleotides long. RefSeq lists it as uncharacterized. The record is from RefSeq and is a predicted model, not a curated record. NCBI's taxonomy places the organism in Eukaryota, Metazoa, Chordata, Mammalia, Artiodactyla, Camelidae. The transcript is spliced from 4 exons.
AGGCGGGAAGAGACCUACUCUCCCCUGCUUUACCUUAAGAGGCUGAGACUGGGGCACUGGGGAGGCAGAGCCCAGAAUCCUAAGUGGCUGGAGCACUGGGGGACACCCAGACAGAACUCUCCCUGGACCAAGCCCUCCGAGAGCGGGAUGAAGCCAUUGCCAAGAAACAGGCCGUGGAGGCUGAGCUGGAUACAUGCAAAGCCAAGCUGCGAGCUGUGGAGGCCCAGCUGCUGGAAGUCCUGGAGGAGAAACUGAGACUGAGGCAGGAAGUGGAGGCCUGGGAGGAGGACAUGCAGCAGCUGGUGAGGCAGCGAGUUGAGAUUCAG